Molecule: long non-coding RNA, 3058 nt
Filed under: Olea europaea subsp. europaea
Lineage: Eukaryota; Viridiplantae; Streptophyta; Magnoliopsida; Lamiales; Oleaceae
Source: RNAcentral
AAAUUGAACAAAAAAACUGUUGCCUCAUAACAAUUUUUUUUGUUUGUGCUGUUCCACAAGUUUUUGGGAAGAGGAUAGGAAGAAAGUUUUGGAUUGUGGAUGAAAAAUUACCCAAGUUUUGGCUCUGAUACCACUUUGAUGCAGGAUGAGGGAUGAUUCCUGCAGAAUAAUUAGAAAUAGCAAAAUAGCACAACUAGCAAGUAGAAUUCCAGCGAGAAGAAGAAGAAGGCAGCAAGAAGGGGAAAAGGGUCGGAGANUAGAGGUUUCAAAGGUUCACAACCAAGAAUAACUUCAAAGGGUUUUAGACCUAAAGACCAGUUCACAGGAUCGUUAUAUGCAAUUUGAACAAUUGGAGGGAUCAAGUCCCAAUUUUCAAGAUUUUCCUGGACUAGAGACUGUAAUAAAUUGUCAGGAUUUUGGUUAGUACUUUUGUUUUGACCAUCAAUUUGAGGUUGGUCAGUGGUGGAUAAUUUUGCCUUAGUAUUAACCACAGGCAACCGGAUUUUCCAAGGGUGAUUGGUGACAUCGUCAAGCUCUUUAACUUGGGUAAGGGUAUGACAUAUAACAUGUGAUUGAGAAUUGUCAGAGAUAAGGGGUAUAUUAUCCAAAGUCUUGGGAAGAGUCUGGAUUUCACCUAAGGAAGUGUCCUCACUAUCAUCCAAAUCAUCAAAAUCUUCAAGUUUAGGUUCAUGACUAGAUCUUCCAACGGCUUCUCUAUUACAUUCUUUCGUUUUUCCAUGACUAAGGUUCGAUUAGGACAUUUAGAAGAAAUGUGACCAAAGUCUUUACAGUUAACGCACAACAAGUUAGAAGAAGACCUUGGAGUUUUAGAAAUUCUACCCUGAUUUUCCAAGAUUGAAGAACCAUUAGAAGGGGGAGGUCCUAGAAGGGACUUAACGGAAGGAGGUGGAGCCAAUGAAGCCAAAUGAUGAUUAUCAAAAAUUUUACCCUUAUUUUCAAAAUUGGAGGAACAUCAGACGGGGGAGGUCCUAGAAGGGACUUAGCGGGAGGAAGUGGAGCCAGUGACACCGAAGGAUGAUUGUCAAUAUGCCUUCUACCUGGAGAAGAAGAUCUUGGACUAUCACGACCUUUACAAUUAUUUUUCCAAAUAGGAGAAACAUUAGAUGGAGAAGGUUUUAUGAUGGACUUAUGAUGAGGCGACGCUAAUAAGAUGGGUGAAUGACGAUGACCACGCUUUUUAUAUGGAGUACUAAUAAUCAACUCAUAAUCUCGAGCUAAAGAGUAAGCGUGAUUAAGAGUAGUGACGCCUCGAAGGAAAAGCUCGCGCUUAAGAUCAUCUCUUAGACCUUGGCUAAACCUACUCAAAGUCGUGCUCUCAUUCUCAAUUAAAUGACAUUUGGUUCGAAAUUCCUCAAAUUGCGCGAUAUACUCAGUCACUAAUUGAUUUCCUUGUUUAAGGGCAUUCCAUUGAGUAAGAAUUUCAAAAUUAUCUCGUUCUCGCUCACGAAUUUGAUCCCUAUUCCUAUCCCUAUCCUUACGAUCGGGUCGAAAGUAUUUUUGAUUACCUUGUCGACGAUGUUGUCUAUUAUGGGACACCUUAGAAUUAUCAAAUCAAUCGAAUGAGGGAUGUGUUUAAAAUUUUUCAAACUAACAGAUAGGGCCUUACUCUCUUCAAGAGUAGCGGUCAUUUGAGUUUGAAUAGCCGCUAUUUGUCGAGUGAGUGCAUCGAAUUGUGAGGGGUUCAUGUUUAAGGUACUAGAGUUAGAAGUGACAAGAUGACCAAUAUGUAACUACAUGUACUGUAAUAGCAACUUAAUGACAUGCAAUAGAGAGAUCAACGAACAAAAAGUGCAAGUAAUGGAAAAUGAAAAUUUGAGCUUUUUUUUUAAAUUUAAAUUUUGGGACUAAAAUUAUAUACAACAAGUUAGUACUGCUUGUAUAUGUAAAAUAAUAAAGCAAUGGUCAAAUACUAGUCAAAAUCUAAUCACGUAAAAUAAGUAGGUUAAAGUGAGAUUUAACGAGGUCAAUGGAUCCAAUUACGUGAGUUUAGAUAAAAAUAGAUCAGCGGCAACACAAAAAUUUAAUUGAUGCAAUUUCAAAAUGAAACAGUAAUAUAAACCAACAAUAAAUAAAAGCAAGAACUUCCCUUUCGUUCGUCGAAGUAGUCAAGCCAGAUCAACUAGAAUAAAAGAUGUACCUGUAAAUAAUAGAAAAGACGUUUCUUCUCUCUCUUUUUUUUCACUUUUUUUUCCUGUAGAAAAUGAUAAAUAAAAAAUAAAAAUAAAAAUAAAAGAAAUUUCGGGUGUGAACAGUAUCGAUUUUUCUUCUCUUUUUUUUUUUUUUUUUUUUUUUUUUUGCCUAAUCAACUAGAAAGAAAAUUGAACAAGAAAACUACUGCCUCAUAACAAUUUUUUUUAUUUGUGCUGUUCCACAAGUUUUUGGGAAGAGGAUAGGAAGAAAGUUUUGGAUUCUGGAUGAAAAAUUACCCAAGUUUUAGCUCUGAUACCACUUUGAUGCAGGAUGAGGGAUGAUUCCUACAGAAUAAUUAGAAAUAGCAAAAUAGCACAACUAGCAAGUAGAAUUCCAGCUAGAAGAAGAAGAAGACAGCAAGAAGGGGGAAAGGGCCGGAGAGAAAGAGGGGAGAAAACCAGAGAAGAAGUAGAAAUCAAGGGAAAAGGGAGAAGGAGGAAGCCAUAGGCAACAACCCAAGCAUUCUAUUUUUUAAUUCAUCAACUCAUCAACUGUCUCAAAUACGCAACAAAACAGAAAUAAAUAACAAAACAAAAACCCUAAUGAGAAGGGCUUGGGUCAAACCUGCUAAACAAGCUCAAUAAUAGAAAUAUAAAUAAUAAUCCAAAUAGAAUAUAACUAAUAGUCCAAAUAGAAAAUAAAUAGUAAAUGGAUGUUCGCAUCAAUACCCAAGUCUGAUAUUUCCUUGUCUAGCUUCUUAAGGUGUUCCUCAUUAGAUUUACUCCUAGUUUCAGCCAUACCCAAGUCACGUUGCUACUUUGAUGCCAAAUGUUAUAGUUGAGCUUCAAUUCUCAACCUGGGACACAAUCAAACACAGUGAUAAAUCAGAAAUUAAACAAAACUCAAC